GUGGGGAAUCUUAGACAAUGGGCGCAAGCCUGAUCCAGCCAUGCCGCGUGCAGGAAGACGCAUCUAUGGUGUGUAAACUGCUUUUGUACGGGAAGAAACACUCCCUCGUGAGGGAGCUUGACGGUACCGUAAGAAUAAGGAUCGGCUAACUCCGUGCCAGCAGCCGCGGUAAUACGGAGGAUCCAAGCGUUAUCCGGAAUCAUUGGGUUUAAAGGGUCCGUAGGCGGUUUAAUAAGUCAGUGGUGAAAGCCCAUCGCUCAACGAUGGAACGGCCAUUGAUACUGUUAGACUUGAAUUACAAGGAAGUAACUAGAAUAUGUAGUGUAGCGGUGAAAUGCUUAGAUAUUACAUGGAAUACCAAUUGCGAAGGCAGGUUACUACUUGUGGAUUGACGCUGAUGGACGAAAGCGUGGGGAGCGAACAGGAUUAGAUACCCCGGUAGUCC
Molecule: ribosomal RNA, 445 nt
Filed under: uncultured bacterium
Lineage: Bacteria
Description: partial 16S ribosomal RNA
Rfam family: Bacterial small subunit ribosomal RNA
Source: RNAcentral